UAGUCCACGCCCUAAACGAUGAGGACUGGCUGUUGGCGCUGUAAAGGCGUCGGUAGCGAAGCUAACGCGUUAAGUUCUCCGCCUGGGGAGUACGGCCGCAAGGCUGAAACUCAAAGGAAUUGACGGGGGCCCGCACAAGCGGUGGAGCAUGUGGUUUAAUUCGAUGCAACGCGAAGAACCUUACCAUCCCUUGACAUCCUCAGAAUGAUCUGUAAUCGAUCAGUGCCUUCGGGAACUGAGUGACAGGUGCUGCACGGCUGUCGUCAGCUCGUGUCGUGAGAUGUUGGGUUAAGUCCCGCAACGAGCGCAACCCCUAUCUAUAGUUGCCAGCACAUCAUGGUGGGAACUCUAUAGAGACUGCCGGUGAUAAGCCGGAGGAAGGUGGGGACGACGUCAAGUCAUCAUGGCCCUUACGGGAUGGGCUACACACGUGCUACAAUGGUGUAUACAGAGGGUUGCUAAGCCGCGAGGUGGAGCUAAUCCCAGAAAGUACA
RNAcentral lists this ribosomal RNA (494 nucleotides) under uncultured bacterium. RNAcentral describes it as "bacterial SSU rRNA". It matches the Rfam family "Bacterial small subunit ribosomal RNA", at positions 791 to 1285 of the family's 1533-position model. The record is from RNAcentral.